CCUACGGGGGGCUGCAGUGGGGAAUCUUGCGCAAUGGGCGAAAGCCUGACGCAGCGACGCCGCGUGUGGGAUGACGGCCUUCGGGUUGUAAACCACUUUCUGGAGGGACGAAGUUCUGACGGUACCUCCAAAGGAAGCACCGGCUACCUCUUUGCCAGCAGCCGCGGUAAUACAGAGGGUGCAAGCGUUGUCCGGAAUCACUGGGCGUAAAGGGCGCGUAGGCGGCCUGGUAAGUCGGAGGUGAAACGCUGAGGCUCAACCGCAGCACUGCCUUCGAGACUGCCUGGCUUGAGCACGGUAGAGGCUGGUGGAAUUCCAGGGGUAGCGGUGGAAUGCGUAGAGAUCGGGAAGAACAUCGGUGGCGAAGGCGGCCAGCUGGGCCGUGGCUGACGCUGAGGCGCGACAGCGUGGGGAGCAAACAGGAUUAGAUACCCCAGUAGUC
Molecule: ribosomal RNA, 442 nt
Filed under: uncultured bacterium
Lineage: Bacteria
Description: partial 16S ribosomal RNA
Rfam family: Bacterial small subunit ribosomal RNA
Source: RNAcentral